RNAcentral lists this transfer RNA (82 nucleotides) under Petromyzon marinus (sea lamprey). Its description in RNAcentral is "tRNA-Leu (TAG) (tRNA-Leu-TAG-2 1 to 20)". It matches the Rfam family "tRNA". From Rfam's summary of the family: Transfer RNA (tRNA) molecules are approximately 80 nucleotides in length. The record is from RNAcentral. Lineage: Eukaryota; Metazoa; Chordata; Hyperoartia; Petromyzontiformes; Petromyzontidae. RNAcentral also lists the same sequence under 3 other names.
GGUAGUGUGGCCGAGCGGUCUAAGGCGCUGGAUUUAGGCUCCAGUCUCUUUGGAGGCGUGGGUUCAAAUCCCACCACUGCCA